UACGUAGGGGGCAAGCGUUGUCCGGAAUCAUUGGGCGUAAAGAGCGCGUAGGCGGUCCGGUAAGUCAGCUGUGAAAGUCAAGGGCUCAACCCUUGAAAGCCGGUUGAUACUGUCGGGCUAGAGUCCGGAAGAGGCGAGUGGAAUUCCCGGUGUAGCGGUGAAAUGCGCAGAUAUCGGGAGGAACACCUGUGGCGAAGGCGGCUUUCUGGGCCCUACCUGACGCUGAGACGCGAAAGCGUGGGGAGCGAACCGG
Molecule: ribosomal RNA, 253 nt
Filed under: uncultured bacterium
Lineage: Bacteria
Description: partial 16S ribosomal RNA
Rfam family: Bacterial small subunit ribosomal RNA
Source: RNAcentral